ACUAUGGAGAGUUUGAUCCUGGCUCAGGAUGAACGCUAGCGGGAGGCUUAAUACAUGCAAGUUGAGCGGUAAGCUGUUUGUAGCAAUACAGACGGCCUAGAGCGGCGCACGGGUGAGUA
Molecule: ribosomal RNA, 119 nt
Filed under: Saprospiraceae bacterium
Lineage: Bacteria; Pseudomonadati; Bacteroidota; Saprospiria; Saprospirales; Saprospiraceae
Description: partial 16S ribosomal RNA
Rfam family: Bacterial small subunit ribosomal RNA
Source: RNAcentral